RNAcentral lists this ribosomal RNA (195 nucleotides) under uncultured bacterium. Its description in RNAcentral is "partial 16S ribosomal RNA". It matches the Rfam family "Bacterial small subunit ribosomal RNA", at positions 1190 to 1382 of the family's 1533-position model. The record is from RNAcentral.
UCAGCAUGGCCUUAUGCCUGGGGCUACACACAUGAUACAAUGGUCGGUACAAAGAGUUGCGACAUCGCGAGGUGAAGCCUAAUCGUCAUAAAGCCGAUCUCAGUCCAGAUUGGAGGCUGCAACUCGCCUCCAUGAAGUUGGAAUUGCUAGUAAUCGUGAAUCAGAUAUGUCACGGUGAAUAUGUUCCUGGGUCUU